This 253-nucleotide ribosomal RNA is filed under the name uncultured bacterium. Its description in RNAcentral is "partial 16S ribosomal RNA". It matches the Rfam family "Bacterial small subunit ribosomal RNA", at positions 796 to 1041 of the family's 1533-position model. The record is from RNAcentral.
CUAGCCCUAAACGAUGUACAUUGUAUGGUGGGAAUCUUGCAUUUUCACUGUAGCAGCUAAUGCGUUAAAUGUACCGCCUGGGGAGUAUGGUCGCAAGGCUAAAACUCAAAGGAAUUGACGGGGGCUCACACAAGCGGUGGAGCAUGUUGUUUAAUUCGAAGAUACGCGAAGAACCUUACCCAGACUUGACAUGUACGGAUUAGACUACAGAAAUGUAGUUGACACUCAUUCUGAGUGGAACGUACACAGGUGU